CUUCGCCCUGGGAAAGACGCUCUUUUUGCUCUGAUGUAGAACAGGUACAGCGGCUUAACUGUUCUGACCUCCCUUCCGAUCACAGAUUUAUCACACACUCUCUCUUCACUCUCUGCAGCAUGGACAACAGCUGUCAUGGUUGUUUUGCAGCACAAAAUCUGACUGAAUGGAUCAAGACCAGAAAAUAACGGUAGCCUCAAAUGCUGCCCUUUGUUCAAACCUCCACGGACGGCCCUGAGACUCAUUUACAAUGUCAGUGUGGCCGUAUAUCAGCAGAAGAGAAACAGAGUGGUGGGACUAUAUUUCUCUUGGGAGAUCAAUAAGCCACACCUGCACCAGAUUUACUGUGCAGUGUCAUGAAUUAUGAGCAUAUCAUCUGACUCCUUCUUGGCAUUUUCUCACCUCGACCGGAGUCACAAACAUGACAAAACAAAACAAAGCGGUGACACUUUUAUCUGGUAUUACAGGAAUUUCAUUAGAGACACAUGCUGUGGUGUUGGAGUUCUCACUUUUGAGAAUGCUGCUGAUAAAAGUGAAGCAUGCCAUUUUUUUUUUUU
Labeo rohita (rohu) is the source of this 557-nucleotide long non-coding RNA. RefSeq lists it as uncharacterized. The transcript has 3 exons. NCBI's taxonomy places the organism in Eukaryota, Metazoa, Chordata, Actinopteri, Cypriniformes, Cyprinidae. The record is from RefSeq and is a predicted model, not a curated record.